Myiozetetes cayanensis is the source of this 3786-nucleotide long non-coding RNA. RefSeq lists it as uncharacterized. Lineage: Eukaryota; Metazoa; Chordata; Aves; Passeriformes; Tyrannidae. The record is from RefSeq and is a predicted model, not a curated record. The transcript has 4 exons.
CUCUGUCUGAGGAUACUCUCUCUCCAGACCAGAGAACAACACUGAAACCUGUACCCAGUGAACCAGGUUGGCUGUUCUCUCCUGUAAGACCAUGGAGACUUCAGAAAAGUGUGUGUGGAUUUUUAAACUGGAUUUUACUGAGUGACCUGACUCCCACAGAAAGAAGCCUUUCCACAUAUCCAAAGCUUUCUGCCUAACCCAGAGGGAUCACAGUGGGAAAGAGGGGCAGGAGGAGGAUGAGUCAAGUACCUGGGUCCACGACAUUUUUAUCUCAGUCCAUCACUCUGAGCAAGACUAACACAGGCACACAGGUGCCCUGUCCCCAGCAGGGGAGUGUUUCUGCCACCCAUCUUUUGACCUCCUGCAGCUCUAACCUGCAAAUGAUGGCUGUCAAACCAGGGACGCCUGAGGAGCUGCUUUGGGCAUGUGUAGCACCACUCCACCUUUGCCUUCAAGGAGUUGCUCCAUUGGAAGCAUCACUUUUUUUCAGGACAGAUUCAGGAUGAGAGGCUGCACCAACCUUGCUGAAAAGCACAUUGAUCCCUCCCUCCCUGGCAAGAUCCUGCCCAGAUCACCAAGUGCUCCCAGGAUUUGUCACUUUUUUUUUUCAGAGGAUGACAAGUUUGGCAUCCAGAAAUUGUUUGUACACUGAGAAAAGACCGAACAAUGAGAGAAGUCCUAAAUCUACCCAUAGACCAAAAUAAGAAAAAGGUGUUUUUUUCAGAAACACAUGAUAGUUUUUUUAUUCUUGAGACAUCUCUCGCCCAGACCUGAGGGCAGAAUGUCUUAUAUUCCUGCAAGAUGGAUAAUAAGGAUGAUAAGCAGGGAAGGGAAGCAGACUUUGCUUAAAGCCAUUAAGCCUCUCCACAAAACAGGCUGGGCUCUGUGGAGACUGAAGGCAUUCCCUGUCAUUUCUAUGAAAAUUAUAUGUACUCAGCAGCCUAAUAAUACUCUAGCAUGUUGUAAUGAUUUACAUAAAAAGAAGUCAAAACAAGGGAAGAGGGAGUGAGCAAGAAAUGGGGUAUCUCCAAAGAGAGCCCAGGGGAACUUGAUGGUUCAGGUGUUCAGGAAAGGAAGGGACUGGGAGAAGAUGCAUGUCUUGGGGUACCCUGUGUUUACAGAGAUUUCCUCUGUGCACAGGGGAACGUGAGGGGAACAUAUGGGGAAGGGGGUGGUGGGGAAGGAUGGUCCAAGCCUGAUGCUUGUCCGGGCACUGAGGCACAACACAGAUGUAGUGUUGCCAUGUUGUGCUAUUUAGUGUAUACCCCUGUGGGCUUGGAUAGGUGAGUUAAGAGGCAGUACACCACUACCAGUGGUAUGUAUCCAUGUCCCCCUGUUGUGUCAAGGGGAGGACAGCAUGUUGUGGUCAGAUGACUGUGGAGAGGCAUGAAGGAAAGUGGGAGAAAGGGCUGAAAUGGGAGAAAGGGGUGAUUUUUCCUUCUUAUGGUGCCCUCGUGCACACAGCAGUGUUGUGGCAGGAUGGUCACCCCAACACCCUGGGAUGCUGCAGGCUCCCUAAAAGCUGUCUGGAGUGGGAUGGAUGCCACAGGUCACAGUCCUGCUCUUGAUCCCCUCUGUGUUGCACGAGCAGGCAUUAUCCCAAGGCCUUUGUCUCUGGCACCACAAACCUCCGGGUGAAAUACAGCUAUCUAUUUCAGCCUUAUCAGAAGGAGCUGUGACAGAUGUAUUCAUAUCCUCUUACACUAACUUGUGUGGUAAUCUGUGAGGCUUCUCCUGCCUCGAUUAUUCACAAGGCGAUAAUUCAGAUACCCCACAGACACAGAGUGAGCUGCAGAUCUUCUAAAAAGGCUUUUUCAUUUUCUCUCAGAAGCUUUUAGAAGAACCUUAGAUGGACCAGAGACUUGUAAUUUAUUUUAUAAUUUAUGUAAGUAAUUUUGGAGCAUGAUGGAAUAACGUGAGCUUCGUUAGGAUUCUCCAAACCCCACCAGAAGCUAUACCAGAAGAGGAAAGCCCUGUUGUUUCCAAGGAGCCAGUAGAAAACAUGAUAUUUCUCAAUGUCACUGUAUUUGCUAAUGAGACUAGAAAGGAGAUUAUGUUUUAUUAAUGUGAUUCUUUUUAAGAUCAUCCACAGAAUUUCUAUUUGUGCUUAACCUUCUUCUUGCUAUUGCUACCUCUCUUGCUUUUUUUUCAGUGAUUCUUGCUGUUUCAGAAGCACUUUACCUGUCAAGUCACAGAGAGCUGCUUAUCCUCACAGAGCUUCUUAUUUCAGGAUGUCCAGCAGCUAAUUCUGCAAACUGGUGUGUCCUUGACCUGAAAGGCAAAUACCAUUUACUGGUAUCAAAGCAACAGAUUAGUCCCCUGAAUUUUCUUGUGCAUCAUUAAAAAAAAAAAAUAUUGCAGCUGUCACAAGAAAAAGAAUAUAAUUUUUACUUGCCUGUCUUCAACAUUUCUCAUUCCUUUGCAACUUUAACUUACUUCAUCUAGGAGAAAGAGCUUUUAAGGACGUAGCAACCUCCUGCUAUCCCUGCAAAGCUACUACUGGUAAUUUUUGAAAACAAACAAGGAUUUGUCAGUUGUGGCUUAGUCUUCCUCAAUAACCAUUGUGACUCUUGUUUAACCUUCAAAAUGCUGCUUGCAUAUGCUUCUCCUUCCACUCCCAAAAUGAGAUUAGUGCAACAAUUCAGCAAAGUGUUGCAGAAACAAGAUUUUCAAGCAUGCAGAGUGGCCACCAUGGACAAUUUUAAGCAUUCAGACUUUGGGAUUAUACUUAAUUCUCAUGUAAAACGCUAUCAGUGAGGCUUUGAGGCAGCUGGGAAAGAAGUUAUGACUAAUAUGAUUAUUGCUGGUCAGCACUGGCACUGAACAGCCCUUGUUUUGGCUGGGGCACCAGAGAGCCAUUACAUAACAGGGGUUUUCAGUCACUGCCUGUCUUUGUAAGUGGUCAUUUUUGUAAUGAUAACCCACAGGUAGACAUUUUGACACCAGUUCAAUAACUACAGCCCUCACUGAUACGGUAGAAACCAGAGCAAUUGGCUGCUAUUUGAGAGCUAGGGAGUUUGUUCUUAUCCAACAGCUGAAUUAAACUUCCUAGAAAGCCAGCCAUGAUGCAGCAGGAUGGGAUAUGAGGGGCUUAUCCCUUGACAGAGCUAACCAGAAAGGCUUCUAGGGAUCCCAGAUGGUGCUCUUCAACAAAUGAGCCUCAGAAAGCCUCAGUAAAAGAAAUGGAACAGGAAUGAGCCAGCUCAGCGAUGGGAUAACUUGUCAGAGCAGUUCUGGGGCUCCAGAGAAAGCAUGUGGCCAAACAGAUGGUCCCAGGCAGAGUAGCUUGAGAGGUUUCCACCUCUUGGAAGCAUGAAUUCUUGGCUGCAUUUACUUCUCAGUGUUAGCCACCAGUUUUACAGAAGUCCUGGUUUUACUGGUCUCUGUGUGUAAUGCAGAUGAUCCGUAAGCUUGGAUUAAUACUGGACAUGCAAUAUUUUUGGUAUUAUGUUUAGCCAGUUGGUUUUCACUCCCAUAAACGACUGAGAGCAACAAGCCAUACGGCCUCAGAGAAACUCAGGAGAUGGGUCCCACUAUCUGCGUGAGCAGAUGUUUUGUGGAGUUCAGUGAGGGAAUUUAGAAAAUUUCUCACGGCCUUAUCCAGUGUUCAUAGGAGUAUGUAGAGCAUAGCAUAAUUUUUGGCUUUGCCAUGACUUAGUUCGUAUAGGGAAGCAUUCUGAUUCCCUUACGAGUAAAGGAGAAGUUUGAGGGCUUUUUUUCCCACCAGUUAAAUGAACCUGGGAAGUACCAUCAUAAAAAAAACAUCACAAAGCACUCGAGCAGAUU